This 91-nucleotide ribosomal RNA is filed under the name Caerostris darwini. Lineage: Eukaryota; Metazoa; Arthropoda; Arachnida; Araneae; Araneidae. The record is from RNAcentral.
AACGGCCAUACCAUGCUGAAUAUACCGGUUCUCGUUAGAUCACCGAAGUCAAGCAUCAUUGGGCGCGGUCAGUACUUGGGUGGGUGCCGUU